RNAcentral lists this ribosomal RNA (858 nucleotides) under uncultured Endomicrobiia bacterium. Its description in RNAcentral is "bacterial SSU rRNA". It matches the Rfam family "Bacterial small subunit ribosomal RNA", at positions 535 to 1397 of the family's 1533-position model. The record is from RNAcentral. Lineage: Bacteria; Pseudomonadati; Elusimicrobiota; Endomicrobiia.
CAUCAGUUCCGGAUUCAGGCGUAAGCGUAUGUAGGCGGUUAGAUAAGUCUUUAGUGAAAUUUCUCGGCUCAACCGGGAAAGGUCUAAGGAUACUGUUUGACUUGAGUGUGGGAGGGGGAGACGGAAUUCCUGGUGUAGCGGUGAAAUGCGUAGAUAUCAGGAGGAACACCGAUGGCGAAAGCAGUCUCCUGGUCCAAUACUGACGCUAAUGUACGAAAGCUAGGGUAGCAAACAGGAUUAGAUACCCUGGUAGUCCUAGCUGUAAACGAUGUUCACUAGAUGUGGGGGGUAUCGACCCCUUCCGCGUCGACGCUAACGCAUUAAGUGAACCGCCUGGGGAGUACGGCCGCAAGGUUGAAACUCAAAGGAAUUGACGGGGGUCCGCACAAGCGGUGGAAUAUGUGGUUUAAUUCGACGCAACGCGAAGAACCUUACCUGGGCUUGAACUGCUAAUGGUAAGAACCGGAAACGGUGAUGACCUGCAAGGGAGUUAGCAGAGGUGCUGCAUGGCUGUCGUCAGUUCGUGUCGUGAGAUGUUGGGUUAAGUCCCGCAACGAGCGCAACCCUUAUCCCAUGUUACCUGUAGCAAUACGGGGUCUCUGAGGAAACUGCCAUUGAUAAAGUGGAGGAAGGUGGGGACGACGUCAAGUCAUCGUGGCCUUUAUGUCCAGGGCUACACACGUAUUACAAUGGUCGGUACAGAGGGAAGCGAUAUCGCAAGGUGGAGCAAAUCCCUAAAGCCGACCUCAGUUCAAAAUUGUGGGCUGCAAUUCNCCCACAUGAAGUAGGAAUCGCUAGUAAUCGCANAUCANCAGGCUGCGGNUGAAUACNUUCCCGGACCUUGUACUCACCGCCCGU